CAGUCGCCGCGGUAAAACGUAGGUGGCAAGCGUUGUCCGGAAUUAUUGGGCGUAAAGGGCUCGCAGGCGGUUUCUUAAGUCUGAUGUGAAAGCCCCCGGCUCAACGGGGGAGGGUCAUUGGAAACUGGGAAACUUGAGUGCAGAAGAGGAGAGUGGAAUUCCACGUGUAGCGGUGAAAUGCGUAGAGAUGUGGAGGAACACCAGUGGCGAAGGCAACUCUCUGGUCUGUAACUGACGCUGUGGAGCGAAAGCUUGGGGAGCGAACAGGAUUAGAUACCCCAGUAGUCCCUGUCUCUUAUAC
RNAcentral lists this ribosomal RNA (301 nucleotides) under uncultured bacterium. RNAcentral's name for it is "partial 16S ribosomal RNA". It matches the Rfam family "Bacterial small subunit ribosomal RNA", at positions 509 to 807 of the family's 1533-position model. The record is from RNAcentral.